RNAcentral lists this ribosomal RNA (466 nucleotides) under uncultured bacterium. RNAcentral's name for it is "partial 16S ribosomal RNA". It matches the Rfam family "Bacterial small subunit ribosomal RNA", at positions 28 to 507 of the family's 1533-position model. The record is from RNAcentral.
GACGAACGCUGGCGGCGCGCCUAACACAUGCAAGUCGAACGAGCGAGAGAGAGCUUGCUUUCUUGAGCGAGUGGCGAACGGGUGAGUAACGCGUGAGGAACCUGCCUCAAAGAGGGGGACAACAGUUGGAAACGACUGCUAAUACCGCAUAAACCCACGGUGCCGCAUGGCACAGAGGGAAAAGGAGCAAUCCGCUUUGAGAUGGCCUCGCGUCCGUUUAGCUAGUUGGUGAGGUAACGGCCCACCAAGGCGACGAUCGGUAGCCGGACUGAGAGGUUGAACGGCCACAUUGGGACUGAGACACGGCCCAGACUCCUACGGGAGGCAGCAGUGGGGAAUAUUGCACAAUGGGGGAAACCCUGAUGCAGCGACGCCGCGUGGAGGAAGAAGGUCUUCGGAUUGUAAACUCCUGUUGUUGGGGAAGAUAAUGACGGUACCCAACAAGGAAGUGACGGCUAACUACGUG